UCUUUUUUAUUACCAGGGUGUCCAUAGUAGUGGAAGUUGUAGAAACGUUAGUCAAUGUGCAGUCUGGUCAUAUACUGAAGCAUGUUUCUCGUCCUUGCAGCAAGUCUGAUGAACGGGUAGCGAAGAACGAAGAUUGGUCUGGGCCACCUGCUGCACCACCACCACCACCACCACCAGCAGCAGCAGCAGCAGCAGCAGCAGCAGCAGCAGAGGAGGGUGCUGCAAGAGAGAUGUCCAUGGACAGCCUGAGCCUUGUCGCUGUGCACUCAGGCAUGUCAGAUAUACAGGAAUUUGUUUUGCCCCAUGUGGAGCCAGCAUUCUGCUCGCUAGAGGUUGAGCAUGAGAAGUAGACUGUCUUCUCAAGCAUGGUAGCCAGGAGUGUGCCAAUUUUGGCCCCAAGGAACACCUGUUCUGCACACUCCACAAUACGGCCCUCAGGGCCAGCACUACUCAGACCUGUAGGCUGGGAAGAAGCUGGAUUUAGUCCAGAGCAGAAAGAAUUCCGCUCACCACACGAAACGCCAUUCAGACUAGAGCACAAUAAGUAGGAUGUCUACGCAUUCCUGCUGGACAGAAGAGUGACUAUACUGGCCCAGAGCAGCAAGUGUUGUGCUGUCUAAACAAAAUACCCUUCAGGACCAAGCACUGGUCAGGGCUGUUGGCCGUAAAGGAUCUGAUUAUAGCGUGGAGCAGCAAGAAUUCUGCUCGCCAUGCAAAACGGCCUUCGAACUCGACCAAAGGAGCUAAAAUGUUACUCAGGCCUGCUUGCUGGCAGUGUGGUGAUUUUGGCCCAAAGCAGAAACUGUUCUGAACACUUGACAAAACGGCAUUCAGAGCCAACCACUACUCAGAUCUAUUGUCCGUGAAGAAGCUGAUUUCAGCCCACAGCAGGAAGCAUUCCGGUCACCAGGCAAGAUGGUGUUCAGACUCGACAACAGGAAGUAGAAUGCCUACUCAAAGCUGCUGGCUGGAGGGCGACUAUAUUGGUCCAGGGCAGCAGGUAUUCUGCUCGCUAACAAAACAGCCUUCACAGCCAAGUACUACUCAGGCCUGGUGACUAGAAAGGAGCUGAAUUUGGCGCAGAGUAGCAACCAUUCUGCUAACUAGAUAAAACAGUCUUCAAACUCGAGCGCAAGAGAUGGGACUGUCUACUUGGCGGUGAGGAGCAUUUUGGUCCAGAACAGCAACUACCCUUCUAGCUAGACAAAUUGGCCUUCGGUGUCUAGUACUACUCAGAAAUGUUGGCCAGGAAGGAGCUAAUUUUACCUUGGAGAAAUCAGCAUUCCGCACACCAUGCAGAACAGCCUUCAGCCUCGAGAACAAGGAGAAUGGUGUGCUCGGUUGUCUUGGACAGGCCUAAUGUCCCCUGUGACAGGUCAGCCAGCAGUGAGAAAGUCAUUAGUAUUGGGGUGGACACCCACCUUCCAGGCAACGGGGACAGCUCAUCACCGCCGAGGAUUUUUUUCCUAUUGUGGUGGGCAUCCGCCUACUAUAAGUGCAGCCAACACACUAGCAGCACCAGGUGCCAACGUCAUGGACACUGACAAGACACCACCUGUUGGAUGGAGACGCUGUGGCUCUGCUGCUACCACAACAGAAGCGUUACGUCAUUGUGAGGCUAAAAUCAGUACAGUCAGUAAUGUUUGCCUGGCAUUUAAAACUGAUUUUUGUUUACAAUAAACAAAUUAUUUGAGCAACAUGAGAA
Schistocerca serialis cubense is the source of this 1705-nucleotide long non-coding RNA. RefSeq lists it as uncharacterized. The record is from RefSeq and is a predicted model, not a curated record. The transcript is spliced from 8 exons. Lineage: Eukaryota; Metazoa; Arthropoda; Insecta; Orthoptera; Acrididae.